AUUGAACGCUGGCGGCAGGCCUUACACAUGCAAGUCGAACGGCAGCACGGGAGCAAUCCUGGUGGCGAGUGGCGAACGGGUGAGUAAUAUAUCGGAACGUGCCCAGUCGUGGGGAUAACGUAGCGAAAGCUACGCUAAUACCGCAUACGAUCUACGGAUGAAAGCGGGGGAUCGCAAGACCUCGCGCGAUUGGAGCGGCCGAUAUCAGAUUAGGUAGUUGGUGAGGUAAAGGCUCACCAAGCCGACGAUCUGUAGCUGGUCUGAGAGGACGACCAGCCACACUGGGACUGAGACACGGCCCAGACUCCUACGGGAGGCAGCAGUGGGGAAUUUUGGACAAUGGGGCGCAAGCCUGAUCCAGCAAUGCCGCGUGAGUGAUGAAGGCCUUAGGUUGUAAAGCUCUUUUACCCGAGAUGAUAAUGACAGUAUCGGGAGAAUAAGCUCGGCUAACUCCGUGCCAGCAGCCGCGGUAA
This 473-nucleotide ribosomal RNA is filed under the name uncultured bacterium. Its description in RNAcentral is "bacterial SSU rRNA". It matches the Rfam family "Bacterial small subunit ribosomal RNA", at positions 30 to 523 of the family's 1533-position model. The record is from RNAcentral.